UACGAUAAAAGAAUCAUUGGU
This 21-nucleotide unclassified non-coding RNA is filed under the name Dictyostelium discoideum. The record is from RNAcentral. Lineage: Eukaryota; Evosea; Eumycetozoa; Dictyosteliales; Dictyosteliaceae.